Molecule: ribosomal RNA, 468 nt
Filed under: uncultured bacterium
Lineage: Bacteria
Description: partial 16S ribosomal RNA
Rfam family: Bacterial small subunit ribosomal RNA
Source: RNAcentral
GACGAACGCUGGCGGCGUGCUUAACACAUGCAAGUCGAACGGCAAGGCCCUGCUUUUUUGGUGUUCUCGAUUGGCGAACGGGUGAGUAACACGUGAGUAACCUGCCCUUGACUUUGGGAUAGCUUCAGGAAACUGGGGCUAAUCCCGUAUAGCAUCUCCUGCUGCAUUGUGGGGGUUGGAAAUUUUAGGCUGUUGGGGAUGGACUCGCGGCUUAUCGGCUUGUUGGUGGGCUAGUGGCUUACCAAGGCUUUGACGGGUAGCCGGCCUGAGAGGGUGACCGGCCACCUUGGGACUGCGAUAGGGACCAGACUGCAAUGGGAGGCAGUAGUGGGAAACCUUGCACAAUGGGAGGAAGCCUGAUGCAGAAACGCCGCGUGCGGGAUGACGGCCUUCGGGUUGUAAAACGCUUUAGGCUGUGACGAAGCGUGAGUGACGGUAAUGGGUAAAGAAGCACCGGCUAACUUCGUG